RNAcentral lists this ribosomal RNA (289 nucleotides) under Clostridioides difficile. RNAcentral's name for it is "partial 23S ribosomal RNA". It matches the Rfam family "Bacterial large subunit ribosomal RNA", at positions 2421 to 2709 of the family's 2925-position model. The record is from RNAcentral. Lineage: Bacteria; Bacillati; Bacillota; Clostridia; Peptostreptococcales; Peptostreptococcaceae.
CGGUGGUUCUGCGUGGAAGGGCCAUCGCUCAACGGAUAAAAGCUACCCUGGGGAUAACAGGCUUAUCUCCCCCAAGAGUCCAUAUCGACGGGGAGGUUUGGCACCUCGAUGUCGGCUCAUCACAUCCUGGGGCUGUCGUAGGUCCCAAGGGUUGGGCUGUUCGCCCAUUACAGUGGUACGCGAGCUGGGUUCAGAACGUCGUGAGCCAGUUCGGUCCCUAUCCGUCGCAGGCGGCGGAAAUUUGAGAAGACCUGUACUUAGUACGAGAGGACCGGGAGGGACGUACCUC